ACCUAUUCCAUCAAAUGUAUUCCGUACAAAUUGAUCAACUAAGCGGAGAUUCAAUCACAAUUGGGCAACUAAGUGUAUACCCAUUGCAAGAAUACAACCAGAUUUAAUAGGAUGCCAAGCCAGAGCAGCAGAAAGACAAUUACAGUCCAAAAAUCUCAAAGAAACAAUGUAAUUUUGCUAAUGACCAACCAAGCACACUUAAGCUAACAUUAAAACUAAAUUAACACAACUAAUCAGAGUUGGAAACAUUGAAGUAAAAGUGGAAAAAAUUAAGUCUAAACGGGCCUAAAGUGAAGUUGAACAGUCCUAACAGUGAAGUGUGUUAAGAUCCGAACAGUACAAAACAGUUAAGCUGGAAUGAGGGAGAAGGUAGGGACUAAGAGUUGGAAACCGAAUGGCGUUUUUAGUUAGGCCGAACGAUUUAAGGCAAGUGUGAGAAGAGGAGAUAUGCAGGAAGAUUAAGAUGUCGAACGAUACAAGUAAAUAAAAGUCGAACGGUAUGAAGACAAGCAAGCAAAUGGAAAUGAGAAUGGAAAACUGAUCAAGUUAAUACAGAAGUUGGUCAAACGAUAUUACAAAUCAGAAGAAUGAACAAGAACAAGUCGAACGGUCUCUGACAAUGAAGCGUGUUAGAGACCGAACGAUAUUAUUAGCAAAACCAAACGGUAUUAUAGUAAAUGUAGAAACUCAGAAAACGAAAGUGAAUGUAGAAACGAAAUGCACACCAGAAAAUGCAAAUAAAAACACAAACAGAAAAGGAAGUGAAAACGCAAAGACAAUUCUGAAACAUAAAUGGCAAACUUUAAAAUGGAACUGGAAAUGAAAUUGAAAGCAAGAAACGAAAUUGAAAUUGCAAUUGAAAACAUAAAUUAUUCGUUACAAAGAAAGGGAAAAAGAAUAAAACCUAAAACUCCCCAAGGGGGGAAAAGAAGAAGACCUCAAAAGCUAAAACCAAAGAAGAGAACGUGAAUGAGGGUAGGGAGAGAGGAAUGAAAUAUGAUUUUAGGGUAUAUAAACCCCAAAUUACAAUUUUGCCCUUCAAACGGGCUUCUACAAAAGAUGGCAAAAAAUGAUCCAAAGUUAACCUAAAAACAAAAUUAAAAGGAAAUGUUUAUGUUCAAAACAAUAAAUGAUGUGGCAGCUCUCUUUACGUCCCAAUAAUAAUUCCAAAAUUGUCCUACAAAUAAUAAUUGGAAUAAUUAGGCACAAAUAAUUCAAAUUAAUUAAAAUAAGAAUUAAGAGUCAAAUUAAGCUCAAAUAGUGAAAAUGAGACAAUAAUUGAGAAUUAAACACAAUUCACCAACACAAUUUGGUGCGGAAAACUAAGUGAAUAGUACAAAAUAUUGAUUCAUCAGUUAGCAUAAAUGAAGUGCACCAAAUUCCGUGCAACUCACC
Molecule: long non-coding RNA, 1395 nt
Filed under: Vigna radiata
Lineage: Eukaryota; Viridiplantae; Streptophyta; Magnoliopsida; Fabales; Fabaceae
Description: long non-coding RNA (VRAD_LNC004874)
Source: RNAcentral